CCUGGGGAGUACGCACGCAAGUGUGAAACUCAAAGGAAUUGACGGGGGCCCGCACAAGCGGUGGAGUAUGUGGUUUAAUUCGAUGCAACGCGAAGAACCUUACCAGGGUUUGACAUCCUGCGAAUCCCUUGGAAACUUGGGAGUGCCUUCGGGAGCGCAGAGACAGGUGGUGCAUGGCUGUCGUCAGCUCGUGUCGUGAGAUGUUGGGUUAAGUCCCGCAACGAGCGCAACCCACGUCUUUAGUUGCCAGCAUUUAGUUGGGCACUCUAGAGAGACCGCCGGUGAUAAACCGGAGCAAGGUGUGGAUGACGUCAAGUCAUCAUGCCCCUUACAUCCUGGGCUACACACGUACUACAAUGCUACGGACAAAGGGUUGCAAACUCGCGAGAGCUAGCUAAUCCCAUAAACCGUGGCUCAGUUCAGAUCGUAGGCUGCAACUCGCCUACGUGAAGGAGGAAUCGCUAGUAAUCGCAGGUCAGCAUACUGCGGUGAAUACGUUCCCGGGCCUUGUACACACCGCCCGUCACACCAUGGAAGUUGGCCACGCCCGAAG
RNAcentral lists this ribosomal RNA (553 nucleotides) under uncultured cyanobacterium. Its description in RNAcentral is "bacterial SSU rRNA". It matches the Rfam family "Bacterial small subunit ribosomal RNA", at positions 872 to 1426 of the family's 1533-position model. The record is from RNAcentral. Lineage: Bacteria; Bacillati; Cyanobacteriota.